Populus euphratica (Euphrates poplar) is the source of this 148-nucleotide long non-coding RNA. RefSeq lists it as uncharacterized. The record is from RefSeq and is a predicted model, not a curated record. The transcript has 2 exons. NCBI's taxonomy places the organism in Eukaryota, Viridiplantae, Streptophyta, Magnoliopsida, Malpighiales, Salicaceae.
GACUAGAUUGUUUUCCUUCUCCAGUCCCUCCCGCCUCCCGCCUCCCGCAGCCCGCAGCCCGCAGCAAUGGCUUCAGAGAAGAAACUAUCGAACCCAAUGAGAGAGAUCAAGGUCCAGAAGUUGGUCCUCAACAUCUCUGUCGGGGAGA